RNAcentral lists this ribosomal RNA (255 nucleotides) under Clostridioides difficile. Its description in RNAcentral is "partial 16S ribosomal RNA". It matches the Rfam family "Bacterial small subunit ribosomal RNA", at positions 995 to 1250 of the family's 1533-position model. Lineage: Bacteria; Bacillati; Bacillota; Clostridia; Peptostreptococcales; Peptostreptococcaceae. The record is from RNAcentral.
CAUCUCCUUAAUCGGAGAGUUCCCUUCGGGGACAUUGGUGACAGGUGGUGCAUGGUUGUCGUCAGCUCGUGUCGUGAGAUGUUGGGUUAAGUCCCGCAACGAGCGCAACCCUUGUCUUUAGUUGCCAGCAUUAAGUUGGGCACUCUAGAGAGACUGCCAGGGAUAACCUGGAGGAAGGUGGGGAUGACGUCAAAUCAUCAUGCCCCUUAUGCUUAGGGCUACACACGUGCUACAAUGGGUAGUACAGAGGGUUGC